UCCCCUGUGGUCCAGUGUUAGGACUGGGCACUUUCACUGCUAUGGCCCAGAGUUCAAUUCCUGGUCAGGGAA
This 72-nucleotide transfer RNA is filed under the name Bos taurus (domestic cattle). It matches the Rfam family "tRNA". Rfam says of the family: Transfer RNA (tRNA) molecules are approximately 80 nucleotides in length. The record is from Rfam by way of RNAcentral. RNAcentral also lists the same sequence under 4 other names. Lineage: Eukaryota; Metazoa; Chordata; Mammalia; Artiodactyla; Bovidae.